CGUACGCACUCCAUUCAACCCUAAGUCCACAUUUUUCUCCAUCCUCUGCCACCGUGACUGCGUUCUUCUUCACCGCCGCCGCCUGAAGCUCUGCUCUGUUCAACUCGAGCUAUAAUUCAGGUACAAUUUGAAGCUUAGUUUAGUUAGAGAUAUGGCUUGAUGGCACAGUUUCAAAUAAAAUCUAAUGCAUUGAUUACUUUGCAAGAGCUAAACCAUUCGUCGCCAUUUUUCAAGCAUGGAGCGUCGCUCAAAGUUACUGGAAAGUUGCAGGAAUACACAUUAGAGACAGCCAUAGCAACCAUCGUUAAUUGGAUGAUCUCAAUCUUUAUCAUAAGUCUUUGCUGCUUCUAAGACAGUUUCAGGCCAACCAUCUCAACAAUCCAGCAAGUUAACUUUUGUAGGAUAAUUUGCUCGCACAAACUGUUAUAAUACACUAAUUUAAAUGUAAUUUUUUCCUCUCUCUAUAAUUAAAAAAGAUGUAAUGUUUCUCCUUGAAAUAUAAGAGCAUUUCUAUGUGAUUUUAAGAGAAUGCCAUGUCCAUGAACAUUAUAUAUUCUGCAGUGCUCAUCCUGUGAAUUGAAAUUUUCACAGAGUUCAUCACUUUUAGUUACUCAAUAGCACUUGCUGGUUGCUGCACAUCAGAUCAAAGG
This is a long non-coding RNA of Arachis stenosperma, 650 nucleotides long. RefSeq lists it as uncharacterized. The record is from RefSeq and is a predicted model, not a curated record. The transcript has 3 exons. Lineage: Eukaryota; Viridiplantae; Streptophyta; Magnoliopsida; Fabales; Fabaceae.